CAGUCGCCGCGGGAAUACGAAGGUCCCGAGCGUUGUUCGGAAUCACUGGGCGUAAAGGGAGCGUAGGCGGCGUGGUAAGUCAGAUGUGAAAUCCCGGGGCUCAACCCCGGAACUGCAUCCGAUACUGCCAUGCUAGAGGAUUGGAGAGGUAGCUGGAAUUCUUGGUGUAGCAGUGAAAUGCGUGGAGAUCAAGAGGAACACUCGUGGCGAAAGCGAGCUACUGGACAAUAACUGACACUGAGAGACGAAAGCUAGGGGAGAAAAUGGGAUAGAUACCCGGGUAGUCCCUGUCUCUUAUACA
Molecule: ribosomal RNA, 301 nt
Filed under: uncultured bacterium
Lineage: Bacteria
Description: partial 16S ribosomal RNA
Rfam family: Bacterial small subunit ribosomal RNA
Source: RNAcentral